GCGCUGACGAGUGGCGGACGGGUGAGUAACGCGUAGGAAUCUGCCUUAUAGUGGGGGACAACGUGGGGAAACCCACGCUAAUACCGCAUACGCCCUACGGGGGAAAGGAGGGGAUCUUCGGACCUUGCACUAUUGGAUGAGCCUGCGUUGGAUUAGCUAGUUGGUAGGGUAAAGGCCUACCAAGGCGACGAUCCUUAGCUGGUCUGAGAGGACGAUCAGCCACACUGGAACUGAGACACGGUCCAGACUCC
Molecule: ribosomal RNA, 251 nt
Filed under: uncultured bacterium
Lineage: Bacteria
Description: partial 16S ribosomal RNA
Rfam family: Bacterial small subunit ribosomal RNA
Source: RNAcentral